UGGGGAAUUUUGGACAAUGGGCGAAAGCCUGAUCCAGCAAUGCCGCGUGAGGGAUGACGGCCUUCGGGUUGUAAACCUCUUUUAGCAGGGAAAAACACAAUGAUGGUACCUGCAGAAAAAGCACCGGCUAACUCUGUGCCAGCAGCCGCGGUAAUACAGAGGGUGCAAGCGUUAUUCGGAAUUAUUGGGCGUAAAGAGCGCGUAGGCGGUUUGAUAAGUCUGAUGUGAAAACCCUGGGCUCAAUCCAGGAAGUGCAUUGGAUACUGUCAGGCUAGAGUACAGGAGAGGUGGGCGGAAUUCCUGGUGUAGAGGUGAAAUUCGUAGAUAUCAGGAGGAACAACAGUGGCGAAGGCGGCUCACUAGACUGUAACUGACGCUGAGGCGCGAAAGCGUGGGGAGCAAACAGGAUUAGAUACCCACGUAGUCCCUGAGCGGGCUGGCAAGGCGCAU
This 450-nucleotide ribosomal RNA is filed under the name uncultured bacterium. Its description in RNAcentral is "bacterial SSU rRNA". It matches the Rfam family "Bacterial small subunit ribosomal RNA", at positions 355 to 825 of the family's 1533-position model. The record is from RNAcentral.